RNAcentral lists this ribosomal RNA (1331 nucleotides) under uncultured bacterium. RNAcentral's name for it is "bacterial SSU rRNA". It matches the Rfam family "Bacterial small subunit ribosomal RNA", at positions 28 to 1381 of the family's 1533-position model. The record is from RNAcentral.
GACGAACGCUGGCGGCGCGCCUAACACAUGCAAGUCGAACGAGAGAGAGGGAGCUUGCUUCCUCAAUCGAGUGGCGAACGGGUGAGUAACGCGUGAGGAACCUGCCUCAAAGAGGGGGACAACAGUUGGAAACGACUGCUAAUACCGCAUAAGCCCACGGGUCGGCAUCGACCAAAGGGAAAAGGAGCAAUCCGCUUUGAGAUGGCCUCGCGUCCGAUUAGCUAGUUGGUGAGGUACGGCCCACCAAGGCAACGAUCGGUAGCCGGACUGAGAGGUUGAACGGCCACAUUGGGACUGAGACACGGCCCAGACUCCUACGGGAGGCAGCAGUGGGGAAUAUUGCACAAUGGGGGAAACCCUGAUGCAGCGACGCCGCGUGGAGGAAGAAGGUCUUCGGAUUGUAAACUCCUGUUGUUGAGGAAGAUAAUGACGGUACUCAACAAGGAAGUGACGGCUAACUACGUGCCAGCAGCCGCGGUAAAACGUAGGUCACAAGCGUUGUCCGGAAUUACUGGGUGUAAAGGGAGCGCAGGCGGGAAGACAAGUUGGAAGUGAAAUCUAUGGGCUCAACCCAUAAACUGCUUUCAAAACUGUUUUUCUUGAGUAGUGCAGAGGUAGGCGGAAUUCCCGGUGUAGCGGUGGAAUGCGUAGAUAUCGGGAGGAACACCAGUGGCGAAGGCGGCCUACUGGGCACCAACUGACGCUGAGGCUCGAAAGUGUGGGUAGCAAACAGGAUUAGAUACCCUGGUAGUCCACACCGUAAACGAUGAUUACUAGGUGUUGGAGGAUUGACCCCUUCAGUGCCGCAGUUAACACAAUAAGUAAUCCACCUGGGGAGUACGACCGCAAGGUUGAAACUCAAAGGAAUUGACGGGGGCCCGCACAAGCAGUGGAGUAUGUGGUUUAAUUCGACGCAACGCGAAGAACCUUACCAAGUCUUGACAUCCUGCGACGAUGCUGGAAACAGUAUUUUCCUUCGGGACGCAGAGACAGGUGGUGCAUGGUUGUCGUCAGCUCGUGUCGUGAGAUGUUGGGUUAAGUCCCGCAACGAGCGCAACCCUUACUGUCAGUUACUACGCAAGAGGACUCUGGCAGGACUGCCGUUGACAAAACGGAGGAAGGUGGGGAUGACGUCAAAUCAUCAUGCCCUUUAUGACUUGGGCUACACACGUACUACAAUGGCGUUAAACAAAGAGAAGCAAGACCGCGAGGUGGAGCAAAACUCAGAAACAACGUCCCAGUUCGGACUGCAGGCUGCAACUCGCCUGCACGAAGUCGGAAUUGCUAGUAAUCGUGGAUCAGCAUGCCACGGUGAAUACGUUCCCGGGCCU